GACGAACGCUGGCGGCGUGCUUAACACAUGCAAGUCGAACGGAAAGGCCCUGCUUUUGUGGGGUGCUCGAGUGGCGAACGGGUGAGUAACACGUGAGUAACCUGCCCUUGACUUUGGGAUAACUUCAGGAAACUGGGGCUAAUACCGGAUAGGAGCUCCUGCUGCAUGGUGGGGGUUGGAAAGUUUCGGCGGUUGGGGAUGGACUCGCGGCUUAUCAGCUUGUUGGUGGGGUAGUGGCUUACCAAGGCUUUGACGGGUAGCCGGCCUGAGAGGGUGACCGGCCACAUUGGGACUGAGAUACGGCCCAGACUCCUACGGGAGGCAGCAGUGGGGAUUAUUGCAAAAUGGGCGGAAGCCUGAUGCAGCAACGCCGCGUGCGGGAUGACGGCCUUCGGGUUGUAAACCGCUUUCGCCUGUGACGAAGCGUGAGUGACGGUAAUGGGUAAAGAAGCACCGGCUAACUACGUG
RNAcentral lists this ribosomal RNA (468 nucleotides) under uncultured bacterium. RNAcentral's name for it is "partial 16S ribosomal RNA". It matches the Rfam family "Bacterial small subunit ribosomal RNA", at positions 28 to 507 of the family's 1533-position model. The record is from RNAcentral.